RNAcentral lists this transfer RNA (76 nucleotides) under Danaus plexippus plexippus. It matches the Rfam family "tRNA". Rfam says of the family: Transfer RNA (tRNA) molecules are approximately 80 nucleotides in length. Lineage: Eukaryota; Metazoa; Arthropoda; Insecta; Lepidoptera; Nymphalidae. The record is from Rfam by way of RNAcentral.
GUCACGAUAGUUUAAUUGGUCAAGAUGCUGGAAUGUGAUAUUCCGGAAGGUUCAAUUUCGAGUCCUGCUUGUGACG